This is a non-coding RNA of Podarcis lilfordi (Lilford's wall lizard), 108 nucleotides long. The record is from the annotation of a GenBank genome assembly. NCBI's taxonomy places the organism in Eukaryota, Metazoa, Chordata, Lepidosauria, Squamata, Lacertidae.
UGUUCAGUAGCACCUUAGAGACCAACUAAGUUUGUUUUGGGUAUAAGCUUUUGUGUGCAUGCUGAUACUCAGAACAAACUUAGUUGGUCUCUGAGGUGCUACUGGACA